Molecule: ribosomal RNA, 301 nt
Filed under: uncultured bacterium
Lineage: Bacteria
Description: partial 16S ribosomal RNA
Rfam family: Bacterial small subunit ribosomal RNA
Source: RNAcentral
CAGUCGCCACGGUAAUACAGAGGGUGCGAGCGUUAAUCGGAUUUACUGGGCGUAGAGCGUGCGUAGGCGGCUUCUUAAGUCGGAUGUGAAAUCCCUGAGCUUAACUUAGGAAUUGCAUUCGAUACUGGGAAGCUAGAGUAUGGGAGAGGAUGGUAGAAUUCCAGGUGUAGCGGUGAAAUGCGUAGAGAUCUGGAGGAAUACCGAUGGCGAAGGCAGCCAUCUGGCCUAAUACUGACGCUGAGGUACGAAAGCAUGGGGAGCAAACAGGAUUAGAUACCCCAGUAGUCCCUGUCUCUUAUAC